This 252-nucleotide ribosomal RNA is filed under the name uncultured bacterium. RNAcentral's name for it is "partial 16S ribosomal RNA". It matches the Rfam family "Bacterial small subunit ribosomal RNA", at positions 30 to 289 of the family's 1533-position model. The record is from RNAcentral.
UUGAACGCUGGCGGCAUGCCUUACACAUGCAAGUCGAACGGUAGAGGGGCAACCCUUGAGAGUGGCGAACGGGUGAGUAAUGCAUCGGAACGUGCCCAGUCGUGGGGGAUAACGCAGCGAAAGCUGUGCUAAUACCGCAUGUGAUCUGUGGAUGAAAGCAGGGGACCGCAAGGCCUUGUGCGAUUGGAGCGGCCGGUGUCAGAUUAGCUAGUUGGUAGGGUAAAAGCCUACCAAGGCGACGAUCUGUAGCUG